GGAAAUGAGAAUAUAGCUGGGACGAGUCGGGGAACGGAUUGACGGUCCAGAUGGUUGUUUUAGUAGUUCUCACUAUUCUAUAAAAUAGUAUGACAAUAAAUGUAAUGAGGACUCCAUUGAGUGUGGAUAUUGUCUAGAAGGCAAUAUUCUUAUUUAAACUCUUAGAUUAUGUUUUGUCGUAUUUUACACGACUGUUGUAUAAUUAAGUUGUAUUUGAAUUUUAUACCAUGUAUUUGACAAUUCAAGAUGGGUGAUGUAUACCUGUUUUGGGGGCGUCACAUUGGUAGCCAUAACUUCACUAAUAAUAUUCCUCUGGUCAUUCAUGUUUAAAUCUAAAAUACCAUCAAGUAUUUUCGUUGAUACGUAAAAGUGCAAUACUUCAU
Molecule: long non-coding RNA, 383 nt
Filed under: Panax ginseng (ginseng)
Lineage: Eukaryota; Viridiplantae; Streptophyta; Magnoliopsida; Apiales; Araliaceae
Description: long non-coding RNA (PGIN_LNC009066)
Source: RNAcentral